GGACCCCAGGUCAGGCGGGGCUACCCGCUGAAUU
Molecule: ribosomal RNA, 34 nt
Filed under: Zelkova abelicea
Lineage: Eukaryota; Viridiplantae; Streptophyta; Magnoliopsida; Rosales; Ulmaceae
Description: partial 25S ribosomal RNA
Source: RNAcentral